AGUGGCGAACGGGUGAGUAACGCGUGGGUGACCUGCCUUCGAGUGGGGGAUAACGUUUCGAAAGGAACGCUAAUACCGCAUAACAUCCUGCCCUUGGAUGGGUGGAGAUCAAAGCCGGGGAUCGCAAGACCUGGCGCUUGAAGAGGGGCCCGCGUCCGAUUAGCUAGUUGGUGGGGUAAUGGCUCACCAAGGCAACGAUCGGUAGCCGGCCUGAGAGGGCGGACGGCCACACUGGGACUGAGACACGGCCCAGACUCCUACGGGAGGCAGCAGUGGGGAAUUGUUCGCAAUGGGCGAAAGCCUGACGACGCAACGCCGCGUGGAGGAUGAAGGUCUUCGGAUUGUAAACUCCUGUUGAUCGGGAAGAACUCCCCUGGGAUUAAUACCUUCAGGGGUUGACGGUACCGGUUGAGGAAGCCCCGGCUAACUCUGUGCCAGCAGCCGCGGUAAUACAGAGGGGGCGAGCGUUGUUCGGAAUUACUGGGCGUAAAGGGCGCGUAGGCGGCCGACUAAGUCAGACGUGAAAUCCCCAGGCUCAACCUGGGAACUGCGUCUGAUACUGGCUGGCUUGAAUCCGGGAGAGGGAUGCGGAAUUCCAGGUGUAGCGGUGAAAUGCGUAGAUAUCUGGAGGAACACCGGUGGCGAAGGCGGCAUCCUGGACCGGCAUUGACGCUGAGGCGCGAAAGCCAGGGGAGCAAAC
Molecule: ribosomal RNA, 700 nt
Filed under: uncultured bacterium
Lineage: Bacteria
Description: bacterial SSU rRNA
Rfam family: Bacterial small subunit ribosomal RNA
Source: RNAcentral